GUGGGCGCACAGGGGAGCUGAGCGGAGCUGGGCCGGGCACAGGCGGCCGCAUCGACCACGGGCACCACGAGGGCAAGGCAAAGCAGGCGCUGCACGAGGCGGUGGAGCUGGACCGUGCCAUCGGGCUGGCCGCACGCCUCACCUCGCCCCAGGACACCCUCAGCGUCGUCACCGCCGACCACUCGCACGUCUUCACCUUUGGCGGCUACACCCCCCGCGGGAACCCCAUUUUUGGUCUGGCACCGAUGCAGAGCGAUGUGGACCGCAAGCCCUUCACCUCCAUCCUCUACGGCAACGGCCCCGGCUACAAAAUCGUGGGGGGCGAGCGGGAAAAUGUCUCGGCCGUGGAUUUCGGUACGUGCACCGGGGGCAAAACAACCAGAAACGGUGGCGGGGGUUCAAACUAUUGCUGCUUUUUAACUUGUUGUUUUCAUUUUGGUUUAUUUAUUUAUUCGCCCCUGCCCAGCGCACGCCAACUACCAGGCACAGUCAGCUGUGCCACUGCGCCAGGAGACCCACGGCGGUGAGGACGUGGCCGUCUUCGCCCGCGGCCCCAUGGCCCACCUCCUGCACGGGGUGCACGAGCAGAACUACAUCCCCCACGCCAUGGCAUACGCUGCCUGCAUCGGCCCCAACCGAGCCCACUGCAACGCCGCCGGGCGCGCCGCCGCCGCCAGCCCCCUCCUCCUGCCCUUCCUCACCCUCCUCCUCCUCCUCUGCUAGAGCAUCUCUUGCAAAACAUCGACGGGGGGGGUUUUUUUUCUGGGGUAGCGGCGCCCGGGAAAAGGCGAAAAAGAAAGACUCAGCAGAGCAAAAGCAGCCGCCCGCGGUUUCGGUGGCCACCGCGUGCUGGGCUCUGCCCCUGUAAAUACACCGUUCCUCCCUGUCAUUAGCGCUGCCGUGGGAUUCGGGCUCAGCGCUGCGGCCGGAGCCCUCCUGAAGCAGGAGGGGGGAGAGGCAGCGGGGUCAGCCCCGAAACGUGCGGUGCCAGCACGGCUGAGACCGACCCCGGCACCCAACUCAUCGCACGAGUGAGUGGGCAACUGGAAAGCACCCGCGGGUGGGGAAGCGGCAACUCGCCAGGCGCUCCCUGCCUCCUUUUGCCUCUUUUGUGGCUUUUUUUUUUUUUCUCCUCUUUUUUUUUGGCCUGAAAAAUCCUUUGGUUUGAGGCCAUUUGCUGCCCGGGGCCUUCUCAGCAUUUUGGGGACUCAGCACUGCACGGAGAGCGGAGCCAAGAUGGAUUUAGGGGGCAGCACCCGGUGCUGCUCGUCCCUCGUUAGCCUCUGGUAAUUGGGGAGGGGGCAUCGGGGGGAGAGGGCAGCGGGGUGGGGGGGUGGGGGGGGCUCAGGGUGCACUUUGGGGGGCGGCUGUUGAGGAGUCGGGGGGUUGAGAAGUAGGGGGAGACCCCAGAGAGCGGCUCUGGGUGUGCAAAUGGUGCCCCGUGUGUGCAAAUUGUGCCCAGGGUGAGCAAAAGCUGCUCUGAGUGUGCAAGGGGUGCUCUGAGCGUGCACAGCUGAACGCUGCAGCUGCUGCCCUGCGUGAGCAAAGGGGGCUGUGCACAUGCAAAUGAGGCCUUGCAUGUGCAAAUGCAGCCUUGCACGUGCAAAUGCCACCCUACAUGUGCAAAUGCAGCCUUGUUUGUGCAAAUGCAGCCUUGUGUGUGCAAAUGCAGCCUUGUGCAUGCAAAUUCCACCCUACCCGUGCAAACGGUGUCCCGGAUGAGCGAAGGGGGCCGUGCACACACAGAUGGCAGCGUGCACAAGGCAGUGCCCUGGCUGCAUGAGCAGCACCGUGCCCGUGCAGCUGCUUGCUCAGCUAUGCAACCGUGCACAUGCAAAUCCCCUCGCACGCCCGAGCGGAGCUUUGCA
This 1868-nucleotide long non-coding RNA is filed under the name Anas platyrhynchos platyrhynchos (common mallard). RNAcentral's name for it is "lncRNA (ENSAPLG00000020524.1)". Lineage: Eukaryota; Metazoa; Chordata; Aves; Anseriformes; Anatidae. The record is from RNAcentral.